UGGCUCAGGACGAACGCUGGCGGCGUGCCUAAUACAUGCAAGUCGAGCGAAUUUCAAGGGGCUUGCCCCUUGAGGUUAGCGGCGGACGGGUGAGUAACACGUGGGCAACCUGCCUGUAAGACUGGGAUAACACCGGGAAACCGGUGCUAAUACCGGAUAACUCUUCACCUCUCAUGAGGUGAAGCUGAAAGUCGGUUUCGGCUGACACUUACAGAUGGGCCCGCGGCGCAUUAGCUAGUUGGUGAGGUAACGGCUCACCAAGGCGACGAUGCGUAGCCGACCUGAGAGGGUGAUCGGCCACACUGGGACUGAGACACGGCCCAGACUCCUACGGGAGGCAGCAGUAGGGAAUCUUCCGCAAUGGACGAAAGUCUGACGGAGCAACGCCGCGUGAGUGAUGAAGGCCUUCGGGUCGUAAAACUCUGUUGUUAGGGAAGAACAAGUACCGGAGUAACUGCCGGUACCUUGACGGUACCUAACCAGAAAGCCACGGCUAACUACGUGCCAGCAGCCGCGGUAAUACGUAGGUGGCAAGCGUUGUCCGGAAUUAUUGGGCGUAAAGCGCGCGCAGGCGGUCCUUUAAGUCUGAUGUGAAAGCCCACGGCUCAACCGUGGAGGGUCAUUGGAAACUGGGGGACUUGAGUGCAGAAGAGGAAAGCGGAAUUCCACGUGUAGCGGUGAAAUGCGUAGAGAUGUGGAGGAACACCAGUGGCGAAGGCGGCUUUCUGGUCUGUAACUGACGCUGAGGCGCGAAAGCGUGGGGAGCAAACAGGAUUAGAUACCCUGGUAGUCCACGCCGUAAACGAUGAGUGCUAAGUGUUAGAGGGUUUCCGCCCUUUAGUGCUGCAGCUAACGCAUCAAGCACUCC
Molecule: ribosomal RNA, 868 nt
Filed under: uncultured bacterium
Lineage: Bacteria
Description: bacterial SSU rRNA
Rfam family: Bacterial small subunit ribosomal RNA
Source: RNAcentral